Molecule: ribosomal RNA, 491 nt
Filed under: uncultured Flavobacterium sp.
Lineage: Bacteria; Pseudomonadati; Bacteroidota; Flavobacteriia; Flavobacteriales; Flavobacteriaceae
Description: bacterial SSU rRNA
Rfam family: Bacterial small subunit ribosomal RNA
Source: RNAcentral
UAUCCUGGCUCAGGAUGAACGCUAGCGGCAGGCUUAACACAUGCAAGUCGAGGGGUAUAUGUCUUCGGAUAUAGAGACCGGCGCACGGGUGCGUAACGCGUAUGCAAUCUGCCUUUCACAGAGGGAUAGCCCAGAGAAAUUUGGAUUAAUACCUCAUAGUAUAGUACAACCGCAUGGUUGCACUAUUAAAGUCACAACGGUGAAAGAUGAGCAUGCGUCCCAUUAGUUAGUUGGUAAGGUAACGGCUUACCAAGACUUCGAUGGGUAGGGGUCCUGAGAGGGAGAUCCCCCACACUGGUACUGAGACACGGACCAGACUCCUACGGGAGGCAGCAGUGAGGAAUAUUGGUCAAUGGGCGCAAGCCUGAACCAGCCAUGCCGCGUGCAGGAUGACGGUCCUAUGGAUUGUAAACUGCUUUUGUACGAGAAGAAACACUCCUACGUGUAGGAGCUUGACGGUAUCGUAAGAAUAAGGAUCGGCUAACUCCGUG